CACUCCUGCGGGAGGCAGCAGUGGGGAAUAUUGCACAAUGGGCGCAAGCCUGAUGCAGCCAUGCCGCGUGUAUGAAGAAGGCCUUCGGGUUGUAAAGUACUUUCAGCGGGGAGGAAGGCGAUAAGGUUAAUAACCUUGUCGAUUGACGUUACCCGCAGAAGAAGCACCGGCUAACUCCGUGCCAGCAGCCGCGGUAAUACGGAGGGUGCAAGCGUUAAUCGGAAUUACUGGGCGUAAAGCGCACGCAGGCGGUCUGUCAAGUCGGAUGUGAAAUCCCCGGGCUCAACCUGGGAACUGCAUUCGAAACUGGCAGGCUAGAGUCUUGUAGAGGGGGGUAGAAUUCCAGGUGUAGCGGUGAAAUGCGUAGAGAUCUGGAGGAAUACCGGUGGCGAAGGCGGCCCCCUGGACAAAGACUGACGCUCAGGUGCGAAAGCGUGGGGAGCAAACAGGAUUAGAUACCCGAGUAGUCCCAUG
This 474-nucleotide ribosomal RNA is filed under the name uncultured organism. RNAcentral's name for it is "partial 16S ribosomal RNA". It matches the Rfam family "Bacterial small subunit ribosomal RNA", at positions 334 to 799 of the family's 1533-position model. The record is from RNAcentral.